GAUGAACGCUGGCGGCGUGCCUAAUACAUGCAAGUCGAGCGAACAGAUAAGGAGCUUGCUCCUUUGACGUUAGCGGCGGACGGGUGAGUAACACGUGGGUAACCUACCUAUAAGACUGGAAUAACUCCGGGAAACCGGGGCUAAUGCCGGAUAACAUGUUGAACCGCAUGGUUCUGCAGUGAAAGGCGGCUUUGCUGUCACUUAUAGAUGGACCCGCGCCGUAUUAGCUAGUUGGUGAGGUAACGGCUCACCAAGGCAACGAUACGUAGCCGACCUGAGAGGGUGAUCGGCCACACUGGAACUGAGACACGGUCCAGACUCCUACGGGAGGCAGCAGUAGGGAAUCUUCCGCAAUGGGCGAAAGCCUGACGGAGCAACGCCGCGUGAGUGAUGAAGGUCUUCGGAUCGUAAAACUCUGUUAUUAGGGAAGAACAAAUGCGUAAGUAACUGUGCGCGUCUUGACGGUACCUAAUCAGAAAGCCACGGCUAACUACGUG
This 497-nucleotide ribosomal RNA is filed under the name uncultured bacterium. RNAcentral describes it as "partial 16S ribosomal RNA". It matches the Rfam family "Bacterial small subunit ribosomal RNA", at positions 28 to 507 of the family's 1533-position model. The record is from RNAcentral.